This 425-nucleotide ribosomal RNA is filed under the name uncultured bacterium. Its description in RNAcentral is "partial 16S ribosomal RNA". It matches the Rfam family "Bacterial small subunit ribosomal RNA", at positions 354 to 796 of the family's 1533-position model. The record is from RNAcentral.
GUGGGGAAUCUUGCGCAAUGGGCGAAAGCCUGACGCAGCCAUGCCGCGUGGAUGAUGAAGGUCUUAGGAUUGUAAAAUCCUUUCACCGGUGAAGAUAAUGACGGUACCCGGAGAAGAAGCUCCGGCUAACUUCGUGCCAGCAGCCGCGGUAAUACGAAGGGGGCUAGCGUUGCUCGGAAUUACUGGGCGUAAAGGGCGCGUAGGCGGACAGCUUAGUCAGAGGUGAAAGCCCAGGGCUCAACCUUGGAAUUGCCUUUGAUACUGGCUGUCUUGAGUUUGGGAGAGGUGAGUGGAACUCCGAGUGUAGAGGUGAAAUUCGUAGAUAUUCGGAAGAACACCAGUGGCGAAGGCGACUCACUGGCCCAAUACUGACGCUGAGGCGCGAAAGCGUGGGGAGCAAACAGGAUUAGAUACCCGAGUAGUCC